UGAAUAGUAUAAUCUAACGGGUAAAAAUGAUCAAAGGCGUAGAUCUAACGGUAAAAGAUUUACAAGCACCAAGUGCUUGGUGCUUUUACAAGCACUAUAGCCGGACUCUAUAUAUAUAUAUAUAUUAUAAAAUAGAACUAGGCUAAUAUACUAUUAAUAGCACCAAGUCAUUGGUGCUACCAAGUGGCUAUUGGGUUAAGAGAUGUGCGGUUAGGAUGAUGUGGGCCCCUUAGGGUUGAGUGGGUGGUUAGUUGAAUAGUAUGAUCUAACGGGUGAAAAUGAUCAAAAGGUUAGAUCUAACGGCGGAAAACUUGGUAGCACCAAGUGUUUCGUGCUAUUAAUAGCAUAGUAGCCGGACUCUUAUAAAAUAAUAUAUAUUAUGUAUUU
This 387-nucleotide long non-coding RNA is filed under the name Ananas comosus (pineapple). RNAcentral's name for it is "long non-coding RNA (ACOM_LNC044552)". The record is from RNAcentral. Lineage: Eukaryota; Viridiplantae; Streptophyta; Magnoliopsida; Poales; Bromeliaceae.